Molecule: ribosomal RNA, 540 nt
Filed under: uncultured bacterium
Lineage: Bacteria
Description: partial 16S ribosomal RNA
Rfam family: Bacterial small subunit ribosomal RNA
Source: RNAcentral
UGGGGAAUUUUGGACAAUGGGCGAAAGCCUGAUCCAGCAAUGCCGCGUGUGUGAAGAAGGCCUUCGGGUUGUAAAGCACUUUUGUCCGGAAAGAAAUCCUUGGCUCUAAUACAGUCGGGGGAUGACGGUACCGGAAGAAUAAGCACCGGCUAACUACGUGCCAGCAGCCGCGGUAAUACGUAGGGUGCAAGCGUUAAUCGGAAUUACUGGGCGUAAAGCGUGCGCAGGCGGUUUGCUAAGACCGAUGUGAAAUCCCCGGGCUCAACCUGGGAACUGCAUUGGUGACUGGCAGGCUAGAGUAUGGCAGAGGGGGGUAGAAUUCCACGUGUAGCAGUGAAGUGCGUAGAGAUGUGGAGGAAUACCGAUGGCGAAGGCAGCCCCCUGGGCCAAUACUGACGCUCAUGCACGAAAGCGUGGGGAGCAAACAGGAUUAGAUACCCUGGUAGUCCACGCCCUAAACGAUGUCAACUAGUUGUUGGGGAUUCAUUUCCUUAGUAACGUAGCUAACGCGUGAAGUUGACCGCCUGGGGAGUACGGUCG